Molecule: unclassified non-coding RNA, 338 nt
Filed under: soil metagenome
Description: partial contains 5.8S ribosomal RNA, internal transcribed spacer 2, and large subunit ribosomal RNA
Rfam family: 5.8S ribosomal RNA (bases 1-120)
Source: RNAcentral
GAUGAAGAACGCAGCGAAAUGCGAUAAGUAAUGUGAAUUGCAGAAUUCAGUGUAUCAUCGAAUCUUUGAACGCACAUUGCGCCCGGUAGUAUUCUGCCGGGCAUGCCUGUUCGAGCGUCAUUUCAACCAUCAAGCCCCAGCGCUUGUGUUGGGGGCCUGCGGCUGCCGCAGCCCCCCAAAAGCAGUGGCGGGCUCGCUAUCACACCGAGUGCAGUAGUUCAUCUUCUCUCCGGUCUUGUGAGGCGGGUUCCGGCCGUGAAACACCCCACUACAUUCAAGGUUGACCUCGGAUCAGGUAGGAAUACCCGCUGAACUUAAGCAUAUCAAUAAGCGGAGGA